Long non-coding RNA from Prunus avium (sweet cherry), 454 nucleotides. RefSeq lists it as uncharacterized. The record is from RefSeq and is a predicted model, not a curated record. NCBI's taxonomy places the organism in Eukaryota, Viridiplantae, Streptophyta, Magnoliopsida, Rosales, Rosaceae.
UCUUUCCCCUUGUCUCAAGUUUUCAAAUCCACCGUUAUAAAAGGAUGAGUCACCUAGCCUAAAGUUAUAAGUCACCUAGCUUAAGGGAUCCUCCCUAAUCAAUCUGAUUUUAUUAGAGCUAAGGAAAGUGGGAUGAAUGGAGGAGACAGUAAGAGGGAGAAGAAGAGGAAGAAGCUUGGAGAUGUUCUUGAUUUGGUAUUGAAAGUUGACCUUGAGGGUUUUAAUGGUACUAUACUGGGCAUUAGAAGGCUCAUCCCCUAACAGAUUGUGCAAGAUUCAAGGCGAAGUUUGAGGAAGCGAGCUUCAACCAAGCUACUAGGCUUUUGUUGUUGAUUUGUGUAAUUAAUAUUUGUAAGUAGUCAACCAUUUGAUAAGGAUCCUAGUGUGUAUUUAACUACGAGCUACUGCGACUUUAAUUCUGUGUUAUUAAGUGAAUUUGUAUUAUUUGUGGCUC